UACGUAGGUGGCAAGCGUUGUCCGGAUUUAUUGGGCGUAGAGCGAGCGCAGGCUGUUCUUUAAGUCUGAUGUGAAAGCCCCGGGCUCAACCGGGGAGGUGCAUUGGAAACUGGGGAACUUGAGUGCAGAAGAGGAGAGUGGAAUUCCAUGUGUAGCGGUGAAAUGCGUAGAUAUAUGGAGGAACACCGGUGGCGAAGGCGACUCUCUGGACUGUAACUGACGCUGAGGCUCGAAAGCGUGGGUAGCAAACAGG
RNAcentral lists this ribosomal RNA (253 nucleotides) under uncultured bacterium. RNAcentral's name for it is "partial 16S ribosomal RNA". It matches the Rfam family "Bacterial small subunit ribosomal RNA", at positions 524 to 776 of the family's 1533-position model. The record is from RNAcentral.